Molecule: long non-coding RNA, 2386 nt
Filed under: Homo sapiens (human)
Lineage: Eukaryota; Metazoa; Chordata; Mammalia; Primates; Hominidae
Description: HSALNT0111606
Source: RNAcentral
AAAUAAUGAAAAAUAGUACCUUUACUGUAUUUGAAAUAUCAAAUAGACAUUCAUAAUUUAUGUACACCUAUGUUCCCAGAAAAUUCUCAUACAUAAUAAACUCCUAAAUCAUACCUCAUUCUUUCCCAACAUGCAAACUAUUCAGAAUCCUAUGGAGGGACAAAUAUACCUUUAUUUUAAAAGUUAAUUCUGAGCACUGAAAAUAAAAAUAAAUGGUUUUCCAGUGUUGCAGGGACCAUUCUAACAAAACGUAACCAGUGACAAACGACGGCUUCCUCAACAGCCAGAACACUGUGCUCCUCUCCAUACGGCUUACUACUCUCUAAUAACCUGUUUAAUGCCACCAAUGUGUUUAAUACUGCUCUCCUCUAAUGUGUUUGCCCUGCCAGACUAUGAGCCCGAGAACAGAAACUUCCUGAUUGGUUCACCAUUAUUCUCCCUGCACCUAGAACAGUGAUGAGCUUCUGGCAGAUGCUGGCUGGACUGAUGGAUGGACUGUUAGGUGGAUGAGGCCCACUGUCCAGUGGGGCCAGUGGUUUACCUUCGAAUGACACAUCUACCUAAGAACCUGCUAAGCACAUGGGACUGACUGCAUGCUUCCCACAGUGCUAGCCCUGAGCAUUAUGAAUGUGUGGCCACCAGUGUUCCAGAUAUGAUUGAAGUCCCAAUCUAUAGCCUGAAGUGAACACCCUUGAUACUUCCCAACUCUUUCCCCAGAACUGUCACAAUGCCAGUGAGGAUAAACUUGUACCUCUUGGAACCUGAGAGACAGCAUGAAGUAAAUGGCACCAAGUGAUACAUACUCUUAUUUUGAUUCCGUUUGGUUUUGAGAUGGGGUCUCACUAUGUUGCCCAGGCUGGAUUCAAAUUCCUGGGCUCAAGCAAUCCUCCCACUUCAGUCUCCCAAGUAGCUGGGACUAUAAACAUGUGCCACCACCCCUGGCCACAGUCUUUGUUUUUUGGGGAUGCGGGGAGGCGACAGGGUCUCACUCUGUUAUCCAGGCUAAAGUGCAAUGGUGUGAUCAUGGCUUACUGCAGCGUCGACAUUUUGGGCUCAAGGCAUCCUCCCACCCCAGGCUCCCAAGUAGCUAGGACUACAGGUGCAUGCUACCACAUUCGGCUACAUUUUUUUUUUUUUUUUUUUUUUUUGGAGAGACAAGGUCUUACUAUGCUGCCCAGGCUGUAGCCUUAGGUAAAGUGCCUUCAAAGGCUCGUUUUAGCUUUGUCAUUUUAUGAAAAGUUGAUAUUCUACUCCCUAAGAUAUCCAUCUUUGUCUUCAGAUAAAAAUUAUUUUCCCAAGUCAUCAAGUUGUGCCAUGUUACCCAGCCUGUGGCUUGUAGUGUCCCUGACACACCCUUGCAUAACGCAGGGAGCCCCUGUGCCCUGUGUGAGAAGCACAGCGUGAAGAUGUUGUCCAUAAUAUUGUACAUGGAAAAGGUAACGUUAGCCCCCAUUAAUGUGGAUUCUCUCAUCUAAUUUCCUCUUUUCACCCAGCAAAGUGCCCAGUGACUGAGAAUGAGACAGAAGAUGAGGGCGUUUGAGGAUGAGAAGGAAGAGGAAAGUCAUCAGAGCCACCUGGAAGUAGAGGUCUGGUCAGGUUGGCCUGCUUAACCAAGAUGGCAGCCAGGGGAGUAGGAAGGAUGAAGACAUUGCACACAUUUGGAGGAAGAAACCAAAGCUGGCAUGAGAGGAGUCCUUUCCAGGGCUGUUCAAGGCAACAGGAUGCAGACUCCUCCCAAUGGGUAAACAUUGGAAGACACCAGGAGGGAAGCCAAGCCUCUAGAGAUUGCUCAGGAACCCAAACCACCCCAAAUGGAGCCGGAAGGUCUGUCAAUUCCCAGAGAGGGAGGAAAUGGUAAGCAAAUGGCAGCAGUUGCUUAGAAAAUUAGGGAAUGAAUAACAAUGCUUUCUGGUAAAUUAACCAUAUUACAUUGUGCAGGGGAAAGCGAUAGGAAAACCCUGUUAAAAAUUGAAUAAUAAUUUGCCCACAUCAUUUAUGCAAAAUGCAUAAUUUUCCUACUUCAGUGGACUUUAGUUUGAUUUAAAAGAUGAGCAGCUCUAGGACUAUUCACCAAAGCAUAAUUUGUAAGAUAAUUGGGAAGGGGAAGAGAAAUCAGACUGUAAUCAGCACAAUCUUUCGUAAGUCACUUCACCUUCCUCCUCUCACCUGCAAAUUUUGGAAAAUAUUUGUUUACCCUUUCCUGAAGUUCUCUAAAUGGAAGUGCAAAGCAUUAAUCAUUGUCAUUGCUACCACUAAACCAUGACCUCACCAUGAGAGGGGGGAAAGCCAUGUUUCAUUCUAUUCAGUAUUUUUCUGCUCUAAUUCAAAUAAGUACUUGUUUUGAAUAGUGGGGAAAAAAAUGGAAAUGUAGCAAAGCUAUAGUUAA